CCCUUACCUAGGUCUUCAAAAACCAUGAUUCCCAUUUCCCUAGGUAAUAAAAAUGACGUAAGCAAGACGACUAAACAACCGGGAGGGACCUUGGUCUUAUCGUUAUCUCGAGGGGGGGGGCAGCCACCCUUAUAACUGGCUUUCUUCAUGGUUCUCUAAAAAUUAAGGCUUUCCUUGCGAGACGAGAAUCUUCAUCUGAAUCAUGAGUAAGUUAUAUUUUCCUUUUUUCCCCGUACUUCUCAUUUAUAAUUUAUUUUCAUAUUUGCACUAUAUGUCUUAGUUUAUAUAUAUUUAUACUACUUGAAAAGCGGUUUACUGUACUUCCAACUUCUUAAUAUCAUUACAGUUCUACUGUCCUGCAUAUCCUACAAUUCUGUUUUUCAUAGAGUUUCUCUAUUACUAUAAGAUUCUAUUAAAGUUAUUCAUGUGUGUGUAUGAGAAAGAGAGAGUGUGUGCGUAUGUUGUGUCUACUUGCCCGCCCUUGACUGUACGAGCGUGUGUGUGUGUGUGUUUUAGCACUCCUCAGCUCGUACACUUCUCUCGACUAUUUCGACUAAUAACCCAUAAAGAUCUUUAAAGUGUUUUACCAAUUUAUCCACUUCUGACUAAAACCGCUUCUGUAUGUCUAGGUGCCGGUGCCCGUCGUCAGUCCCUUCUCUCACCGUUACUGGACCUGGAUCUGGACCUCCCUUAUGUUUAUUUUAUGACAUUUUUUAUCCACAACACUGACCACAAAGUAAAAGUCCUGCCAUGGCCAUCCCAAUUCCCUUACUCGAAACCCAUAGAAAACCUGUGCGUAUUUAUUUAUUUUAUAAACCUGUGUUGUGUUUGCAAUUGUUUGAUAUCCAUGAGAGCAGAGCAUUUUUUUAAGUAAAAGAUCAAAAGGUUAAACAAUGAAAACAGUUUUUCACAGCCUUCUUUGCUCAUAUUUACCAAGGGUUCCAAUAUUAGUGGAGGGAACUGUAUGUAUGUACACAUUCAUGUUGGGUGGCAAUGGGAUUUCUGGAAUGAAUGAAUCAGGUAGAAAAUGAUACUUUAUAACCUACAUUAUAAAAAUUGCUUUUGCUUCUGUCACUUUUAACAGAUGUCAUGAAAGAUGUAAUCAAAAGCUGUGGCCUGUGUUUCCUGUACUCUGAAGCAACAUUUUCCAUAUAGACCUAGACACACUCACAUCUAUCACACGCAAGGGUGAACAGUUUAAAACUUUGUGUUAAACAUGUUUUCAGGGACGCCAUUUUGCCUUCUUCUAGCUCUUCCUUUUUACUACUCUACAAACAUUGGUGCCUUGGACAUUACCGUGUCUAGUGGGGAUACUGCCUUUCUACCAUGUCCUUUACCGUUCAACUACACUGACUUUAUGAGGAUUGGAGUUAAGUGGGAAAAGGAUGGAGGGUCAAUUUUAUGUACAUAUUAUAUUCAGAAUAAUGCAAUUCAUGACCAUAACUGCAAACCUCGGUUCAAAGUAAAUACAGAACCUUUAGGGCUGAAUAUAAUAGGUGUUGAAAGCAGUGAUGCUGGUCUUUAUAAAUGUUUGAUGAUCAGAUUAUUACCACCACCUUCAGAGGAGAGAUCAGUAACCCUGAGGCUUAAAGUUAAUGUUCUAUCAUCUAUUACCUUGCACCUGACGAACAGCACUAAUGUCUCCUGUGUGGAGCUGCUCUGCUCUCUGCAGGGUUUGAGACCACAGCAGGUGAACUUCACAUGGACCAGAGCAACUCAGUUUCUUCACCAUCAUCCAGAGUCCAGAAGCAUGAACAGUACACUGAUGCUCUGCAAGCCGAACUGGACAGACAGAGAAACACUCACUUGUCACGCCAGUUACUCACACAACCACAUACGCUACAGCAAGAGCAUAACACUCCCAUGCAACUCAGACAGAGUGGCAAUCAAACAAAACCCAAGUGUGAAGAAGAACUUAUCUGCAACUCCAAGAAAUGCAAGUUUUUGUUCACAUUUAACUUAAUUAAUAAUUUUGUUAAACCUUUCAAAAUUAUAUUAUUUAAUUUUUGCAACAGACAGCAGUAACUUCUUUAACGUGCAGUUUGGCUUAAAGGCAAUCAGUUCAGUUGUGCGGUUUAUAGUUAUUGGGACCCUUUUUGCCUCAUUGAUUGGCACUGCUUUGUUCUUCGAAGUUUACUAUCAAUGUCUCGCUGCACGCCGUCGUCAGUGAUGGGAUUGUUAUAUCUGAACUUGUCUCACCUUCUCAGGUUUACUCAAUCAACAACACAAACUGAAACAAAUGUAUCUGCUACAAACAAAGAGGUUUUGAUGACGUUAGAAAUGCCAUUACUCUGGUGUAACACCAGAUAUUACUCCUUGCUGCCAGCAGAAGUCACAAUCCCCCAAAUUCUACUGCAAUCUCUGCCAGCCACUUCUAGGCCACAGUAUACUGUAUAUACCCAUCAAGUUCAGCAACACAAAGUCUUGCCAACCUUGUGACUGUGUAAAUUAUGAACGCUGUAGUUCUGCUGAUUUUGUAUGUUGUGUCUAACUGCUCUCUGUUUAUUCUUGAGCUUACCCUUUACCCUGGUUAUACUGUCUUUUUGUGUUUUCUCUGCUUGUGUUUUGAGUGUUUAUCUAUUCUGAGCUCGGUUUGUGAUUUUAAGUUUCUAUUCCUCGACUUUAUAAUAAAGUGCCUCUGAACAUGUUAGAAUAUACUCUCGGUCUGAAUCUAGUUUUUUACUGAAGAGCUUGCUUCUUAUUGUCGAUCUAAUGUAGGUUUGGAAAUCUAAAGUCAGCUGUUACUUAUUAACUGGGUUAAGCUUAUAUUUACUAAACUCAAGUUACCACAGCAAUACAUAGAACCAUCUCUGUGGAAAACAAAAUAUUAUAGUGGACUUCCUUGAACAAUUACAUCACAGAGUAUGCGUAAGCAUGUCUUGGUUGUGCACAAUCUAGAGCCUCCUGUCAUCUGCCCACAAUGCAGUGUGAAACUACCCUUGCCACAAUGUUCCUCAUUCCACAUAGUCAUUACCCUUAUCACAUGUCUGCCAGUAUCCCAAGGUUUCACCACAAUACUCAUCAUUGACUGUUACCCCUGCCAAUCCAGUUGAAGCUCUGGUAGACAGGAGUGGAUGAGGAUGAGUCAAUGGACCUCUGAAGUGGUACAUGUCUGAUUACAACAAACAGCUCUAGGACCAAAUUUCCAAAAGGACAAGAAAUGCAGACUGCAUCCACAGCUACACUCAGGCCAGAUGGUCUGGUUGUUCUUUUAUUAAAGCAAGUUAAGUCAAUGAUUCAAUAUUCCUUUGACAAUGUCAAUCCAGUUUCAAACCACCUUGAAUUACCAUCAUCCUUUAGAAUAGCCCCUACAUGUCACAAAGUAUCUGUGGUUAAAACUGUUUUCUUCUCCCUGGAGCAAGUUGUGGUUGAGUGUGAUCAAAUUAAAUGAAGACAGUAUGAAGGGUCUGUUUUUCUGUCACAGACUUCCUGUGUUCUCAUGAACUUUACAUUGCAAGUCUACCCCCGCGUGUAAAGAGUGAAAAGUUGCCACUAAACCUAUUUGUGUUGUUAUCUUAUGUGUCAUCUCAUGUAAUGUAAUAAUUGCACUUCUGUUGAUACACUUAAAAUAAGCUUGGUUUCAGAUCUCUGUCAAAUGGAAAGUGAUCCUAAGCUAUAAAAAUUUUGAUCUUCAUCAGUAAAAACAAGGUCAUUAAAAAUGUGCCCAGUGCUUCACAAUAUUGAAAAUAAUCAGAGAAAGAUAUAUGUAAUGUACCUUCUAUUUAAAGAAUAAAUGACCACUUUAGGCCUGUCUAUAAUAUAUAGAGGAUUAAUGUUUGAUUCAGCCCUUUUCUGGAGAUUCAAGUGAUUAAAUUUACAGAAUUUUUCUUGUAGAGUUUUUCAGAUUUUGCUGUACAGUAAAUGUGUCCUGUCAGAACCUCAUAUUAAGAUGUACCGUAGUUGACAUAGUUGUUUGGAUUAAAACAUUGCUAUUGAUGCUUGGAUUAACAAAAUUCAACACAGUUGUAGCUGUAAACAAACUGGUACUGAUUUUCAAACUGCUACUGCAUUUGACAAAAAGGAAACUGUAGCCACAGACUUGCCUUAGAGUUCACAGCUCGGUUUUAUUUCAGGAUGUAUAAUAUAGAAUGAUCACAGCAGUGGAUAUGAACAGGGUGCAUAUUCUGCAGUGUGAAAUGGUAUCAGUAGGGAAGUGCUGUUUUCUCUGGUCUGUGUGGAUGCUUCUAUUAUUUCCCUCAGCCAUAAACACACAGAAUUGCACUGAAUUGAAUACAACACAGACGGUUCAUCGGGGAAUGUCAGUCACAAUCAGCUGUCAUUACAGCACAAAUAGCAGUCUACAUUCUGUUGUAUAUUUCAGAAGAAAACAUUUACUGUGUUACUACCGCUUCAUAAAACAAUCCUGGAUUAAAGCAUCAUGUGAAAGCCACAUCAAAUUUAUUUGGUUUCAAGAAAAAGAGGAAAUAGCAUUUGAGCUGUUAAAUCUUCAAAUAAGUAAUUCUGGCAUUUACACCAUAACUGUGGAAGAGCAUGCACCACCUCCUUCAAGAUGUGUGGAGCAGAAGAGGAUAUUCAUUCAUGUAAUUGCACAUCCAUUAGUGUCUAUGUCAUAUGAAAAGGGGCCUGACAGAGCUCCCACAAUACUUUGUGCUUCUGAAGGCUUUUACCCUGCUGAUCUGCAGCAGGUCUGGUUGACAGAUGGAGAAUAUAUCAGUUACCUGAACCUUUCAUAAACAUCUCCAUAUGAAGAAAAUCUGAACACCUCUGACAUCAACUGGACCUAUAGAAACAACAAAGAUGGAUCCUACAGCCUCAUAUCGUACCUUCACCUGCCAUUACACACACUACAGAAAGUGAUGUACUACUGCUGGGUGAAUCACUCAACCCUGAGUCAACCCAUCACUGUUACCAUAUCCUCCACUGAGUGCACUGAGAGAGAAGAGAAAUUAACAGGUAUAUCUUUCUGAGUUUUUGAGAUUGUUCCAAACAUUGUAUUUAUAUAUAAUAGUAUUCGACUUGAUUUUUAGAUUUGUUUUCAGCAAUUGUCGGUAUCAGUUGCGGUGUGAUGGCUGGCAUAGGACUAAUCCUUUCAGACUGUUAUCAAUGUCUCAGAAGAAGACUUGAUUUGCAUUCUCCAGUAGGAGCUUCAUCAUUGCCCGAGCUUGUGUCCCAUUCUGCAGCGCAGACCCAGGUAUAUUCAACACUAGGAAACCAUCGGCCUGUUCCAUGUUCCAGCCGCGCCACAUCUCCCUCUCAAUGACACACUAGGAAAAACAGUUUGACAUCUGUACUAAAUAAAGGCAAAUCAUAUCUAUA
Ictalurus punctatus (channel catfish) is the source of this 5277-nucleotide RNA transcript. RefSeq lists it as uncharacterized. Lineage: Eukaryota; Metazoa; Chordata; Actinopteri; Siluriformes; Ictaluridae. The record is from RefSeq and is a predicted model, not a curated record. The transcript is spliced from 10 exons.